GAGUGUAACAACAAUGAAGGCAAUGCUUUUCGUACGAAUUAAUUUCGGACUGGACUGCUCCGCAUUUUAUGAUAAACUCUUGAAAGACAAAAAAUUGGUUCCAGUGAAAAAUACAAAACAGCAACAGUGAAUGAUGCUGUUGCACCAUCUUGUUCCCACUGAUCUGCAAUUUUAUCAAUGGAGUGUAUCAAGUGCCUUUGUAUUUAUAAACAAGCCCCAAGUCGACACUGGAUUUGCACAUCGUUUGCUAUUAAAACAUGGAGCCGUCCCUGCGAUAAAAGACCCAAUUCAUGACAGGACAGGACAGAAAGUGUGAUAGAGAGGAGGGGACUGCAUCAGAAAAGACCUAGAGCUGAGAGACUUUUACACCCGGAGCACAACCACAUAUACACGAGGCUGUUUGCUAACAUUUAAUCAAAUUUUAAGAAAGAUUUCUACAUAAAUAUUAAAUGCAUUUCAUUCAAGGCAGGGUUUUUCUUGUGUAAAGAAUUUCAAGGCGACUGUCUCUUGUCAAAUUCAGUGCCACCUCUGGCUGUCGACAAAAGUCAAGACUGGACACAUGCUCCUAUACCCCUUUACCACCUACACAGUUUCUGUUGCAAGUUCUCUUCUCAAACUUUUCAACAAUUUCACAGCACAAUUGUACAAAUCUUUUGUAAUGAGACACAUUAGUAAAACAUUUUUUCACAGAAAUUAUAGUUUUU
Carassius auratus (goldfish) is the source of this 704-nucleotide long non-coding RNA. RefSeq lists it as uncharacterized. The transcript is spliced from 3 exons. The record is from RefSeq and is a predicted model, not a curated record. NCBI's taxonomy places the organism in Eukaryota, Metazoa, Chordata, Actinopteri, Cypriniformes, Cyprinidae.